Long non-coding RNA from Malaclemys terrapin pileata, 4873 nucleotides. RefSeq lists it as uncharacterized. The transcript is spliced from 2 exons. The record is from RefSeq and is a predicted model, not a curated record. Lineage: Eukaryota; Metazoa; Chordata; Testudines; Emydidae.
AGCACAGGGCCCAAUUCAGCCGAAUUGGCUGAAUCGGCCUUAAGCCGGCCCUGGCCCUGGCCCCAGGGGAUCCAGUUAGAAAUUUAGGAAGCACCCCCUCUCCCCCAGUGGCCUGCCAGUGAGUGGGAUGAUGGAGAGGAGCCCUCAGCUAGCCGAUGGGCUGACCCAAGCCCCGGAGUCAGCAACGUGUCAGUAGGUGGAUACAAGCGUCCAAGAUAAAAAGGUUGAUGUCUGUGGUAAUUUUUCAAAAAAUUGAAUGACAUAACCCCCCAGUGUCACUAAGUACGGUAAUUCUGUCAAGCAUCCAGUGCACAACAUUGUGAAAGUUACUAGUGACCCCCCCUUAACAGAGCAGCCUUUAUGUCAACCAAUGGCCAUUAGGGGGAAGCAGACACUUCAAGUACACAGUAGCCUGAACUUUUCAACUGUCUUCCCUUCAAGGCCUUAAGGUAGUUGGAGCUGGUCCCAAGCCGGUUUUCACUGACCAGAUAACAAAAGCACGGGUCUGACAACCACCAAUCAAGUGUUAACGCUGCAAGGACCUUUGUCUGAAUGUGUAUAAAGGAUCUGUAAAAUGUGUGUAAGACAGAGUUUUUGUACUAAGGUGCAAAGCUCUCUUUUCUUCUGCAGAACAAAGCAACUCUUCCUUAUCCCUGUCUGGCUGUUAUUGGCUCUCAGCUAGGUGGACCCGAUAUUUCGGUAACAGUUUCUGGCGACUCCGCCGGGACUCUCCUAGCUCGGACAUUGGACUCCGGACGGCUGCGGCGAAUUGGGAACGGCGCCAAUGGGGUGUUUCGCCCCUUUUCUCUGCUUCACCGCAGCCCCUGGGGUUCGUGCUCCGAUAAGGUGAGUCCUAAUAGGAUAAGGAGACACUAUCUGGUUCUCGUCUGGUUAACCGGUUAAUGAAUUUCUGUCUUAUACAUUUGGGCGUUAGGUGUGUGGACAGAACUGAGCCUCUCAUUCGUAAUUCCUCAGAGUGAAAGCCAUCACGUGUGAUGAAGCUCUGAGGUUGAAUUGGGAUCCUUCUGUCUUGUCCCCUGUAGCGGUCAGUAUUAGUAGAAAUUCCUGUAAUAGGAUCCUAUUAGGCCAUAAUUCCCUCUGUUCUCUGUGUAAUUCUCUGUUAGAGUGUCAGCAGGCAGAUGGGUGGGUCUCUGGUAAAACCCUCUGAGGAUAGCCCUUUAGAUUAUAUGUUAAGUAAAUGGUCUCUACCCGGUGUUUAAAAAGAAAUAGUUAGACCUUGUGUAGAAAUUGAUGUGGCUAGUGUUGUGGAAAUUGAAUUGUGGAGAGGAUGUGCAUUUUCCCCAGAACAUGUGCAGUGUAUAUAGUAGCUGAGGUAAAAGAAAUGCAAACCUACCAAUAUAGGUUGUGUUGUCUUUUGCAGAUCACUGGGUGUUUGAAAGCAGGAGUUAGAAGUAAAAGGCAAUCAAAAGUCUGGGAAAGUUAAUUGUGUCCUUUUUUUUUUUUUUUAAGUAAGAAUCUUUAAGCUGUGGAUAGCUUUGGAUCUGGAAGCAAGCCAGAAAGCAUCUGUAUUAAUGCAAUUUUCUAACUAAUAAUGUAGAAGCCACUGAAACCUGGGCUGCCUAUGAAAUAAAUACAAGGAAAUAUGGGGUAAUUCUGUUUUGCCUAAAAUCAACAAGAGUAUGUGUAUAUAAAGGAAAUAUUUUAAGCAAUGACUGACUGCCCAGAAGGGGUAGACCUCUGUUCUUUUGUCUUUCAGAUCAUCAGAGAAAACGGAUGCCAGCUGAACAGCAUUCAAUGUACCAUGCAUUUACUGGCACAAUAGGAAUUAUUUUUGUGUUCUAUGGCCAAAAUUGUUGUUAAAAUUUGCAUACCAACAGUCUUUGGAAGCAAGGACAUGGAAGGUUAACCCAUUCCCCAUAUUGCCCAUGGGAUCCUUCUGGCUACCUCAGAUUUCUAGCCAGAGGGCUGGGGAGGGAGGAAAGCUAUUGGACACCAGAGGUUGUACCGAAUGAACUCCUCAAAGAUAAAAGAAGUGCUACCCAAAGACCCUAGCAGCCCUGCCAUUCAUUGAAACAAGGAGACUGAGCCUAUGUAAAGUCUAUCAACGAAAGACUGCUUUGGCUCCACACUGGAAAGGCCUUUUCCAAGUCCUGUUAACCACCAACACCGCUGUGAAGAGCCAAGAACUAUCUGCCUGAACCCAUGCUUCUCACUGUAAAAAGACCCCUCCACCUCGGGAGGACUCUCCGACUGAUAAGCCUAUUUCUCCUUCUAGCUCUGCUAUGCCUUCUGGACAGCAGGAAAAAGGAAAAAAGACAAGGUGAAGUGCUAGUAACCUCUCCCUUGUCCACUGACAGACCUACUGUGCCUUUGGAUUUUUCUAGAAGAAGCAAAACCAUUACAGGGUGAUGUGCUAGUAACCUCUCCCCUGUAUGACGCUAAACCACACUGUUUCAGGAAAAGAGAAGAAGGAACACUUGCUUUAUUGGAACCACCAAAGUCCAGGGAUUCCUGACUACAAGAGACAUUAAGAACUGACCCUGGUGAAGAAACAAAGAAUUAUACACUGGCAGGAAGAAACUUGUGGGACCCAUGCUUGGGAAUGUGAUAUAGUACUACACCAAAAAGAAAUGUAUUAGGAUAUCAAUGAACUGUGAUUAACACUACACUAGGGACUGUUAAAUUUUCAUUACCCUUAUUCAGUUUCCAGAUCCCCUCUAUAUACCCAAAUUGCUCACAGGGGGCUGCCAUUAGAUUAGCACAACAGAGGGCUUGGGUUAUUUCCUCUAGAAAGAAAAGUGACUUGACCGGAUCCCUGUGGGAUGGGGCCAAUAAUGCAGCAGCAGUUUGGAAUAUUUUUAAGAACCAAAACAUGAUGAGAAAUUGGGGCACAGCUAACCCAGGUACAGGCUGGAAUUGGUGAGUUACAUGUUAUCUCCGCCCUUAGUUCGAUGACCCAGAAGUUGCUGAUAGAAAUGGUAUUGAAUAUCACUGAGGCUGGGAAGGCAUUGCAGUGGGAUCUAGCAUGUUCAGAAAUUCAGGAUUUCCUGAAUGACCAGCUAAUGGCCAUUCGAAAUGAUCUAGAGCAUCAGGCUUGGCCCACUGCCCUUACAGACACAUCAGGAGUACCAUCUGAUCUGUGGCCAUGGAGACAUAUGUCAAGGCUGUAUCCCCACUUUGAACUUUAGGGUACAAAUGUAGGGGCCUGCAUGAAAACUUCUAAGCUUAACUACCAGCUUAGCUCUGGUCCGCUGCCACCAUCCCAAGGCUAAUUUCCUUCCCUGGAUAGCCUUGAGAGUCCUUCACCAAUUCCCUGGUGAAUACAGAUCCAAACCUCUUGGAUCUUAAAACAAGGAGAAAUUAACCAUCCCCCCUCCUUCCUCCCACCAACUCCUGGUGAACACAGAUCCAAUCCCCUUGGAUCUAAAACAAGGAGAAAUUAACCAUUCCCCUCCUUCCUCCCACCAACUCCUGGUGAACACAGAUCCAAUCCCCUGGGAUCUAAAACAAGGAGAAAUUAACCAUUCCCCUCCUUCCUCCCACCAACUCCUGGUGAAUCAAGAUCCAAACCCCUUGCAUUUUAAACAAGGAAAACUCAAUCAGGUUCUUAAAAAGAAGGUUUUUAAUUAAAGAAAAAGGUAAAAAUCAUCUCUGUAAAAUCAGUAUGGAAAUUAACCUUACAGGGUAAUUAAACUUAAAGAGCUCAGAGGACUCCCCUCUAGUCUUAGGUUCAAAGUACAGCAAACAAAGAUAAACACUCUAGUAAAAGGUACAUUUACAAAUUGAGAAAACAAAGGAAAAUUAACACGCCUUGCCUGGCUAUUUACUUACAAGUUUGAAAUAGGAGAGACUUGUUUAGAAAGAUGUGGAGAACCUGGAUUGAUGUCUGGUCCCUCUCAGUCCCGAGAGCGAACACACAACCAAACAAAGAACACAAACAAAAGCCUUCCCCCCCCCCCAAGAUUUGAAAGUAUCUUGUCCCCUUAUUGGUCCUUUAGGUCAGAUGCCAGCCAGGUUACCUGAGCUUCUUAACCCUUUACAGGGAAAAGGAUUUUGGAGUAUCUGGCCAGGAGGGAUUUUAUAGUACUGUACACAGGACAGCUGUUACCCUUCCCUUUAUAGUUAUGACAACAUACUUGGAAACUUUCUGGGUGGAAGUACAAACAUUCUCAAUGCUCCUUCCAAGCAUAUAAACCAAUUAGGGGAGGACUUGUGCUCGCAUCGGGGAAAAAUGUUGUUUCUAUGUUAAUCAUUCUGGCUUAAUUGAGCAGGAUUUACAAGCCAUUAAGAAUGCUGCUGUUGUUUUCCGUGCUUUAUCUUUUGAUCACACCUUUAGUUUUGAGGACCUCCUUCCAGACCUUGGGUCAUGGUUUAUGGGGCUCUUUCAAACAAUUGUUAAAUGGAUUCUUUUCUUUCUAUGUGUUAUUUGAAAAAUGAUACAAUGUGCCAAAUGCCUGUGUAAUGCUAUGAUCAAAAGCUCUGCUGUCCAUAAGAAAACACAGUAUCUGUCCCUUCAGCUUGAUCGCAAAUUGCGUAAAGGGCCUGACAAUUUUUGAAUUUGUCAGGCUCGAAGGGGGGACUGUGAAAAUUACUAGUGACCCCCCCUUAACAGAGCAGCCUUUAUGUCAACCAGUGGCCAUUAGGGGGAAGCAGACACUUCAAGUACACAGUAGCCUGAACUUUUCAACUGUCUUCCCUUCAAGGCCUUAAGGUAGUUGGAGAUGGUCCCAAGCCGGUUUUCACUGACCAGAUAACAAAAGCACGGGUCUGACAACCACCAAUCAAGUGUUAACGCUGCAAGGACCUUUGUCUGAAUGUGUAUAAAGGAUCUGUAAAAUGUGUGUAAGACAGAGUUUUUGUACUAAGGUGCAAAGCUCUCUUUUCUUCUGCAGAACAAAGCAACUCUUCCUUA